ACAGUGGACGCGAGCAUCUGUGGCCAAGUUUUUAAGGGCGCACGGUGGAUGCCUUGGCACCAGGAACCGAUGAAGGACGUGGGAGGCCACGAUAGGCCCCGGGGAGUCGUCAACCAGGCUUUGAUCCGGGGGUGUCCGAAUGGGGAAACCCGGCAGUCGUCAUGGGCUGUCACCCGCUGCUGAACACAUAGGCAGUGUGGAGGGAACGCGGGGAAGUGAAACAUCUCAGUACCCGCAGGAAGAGAAAACAACCGUGAUUCCGGGAGUAGUGGCGAGCGAAACCGGAUGAGGCCAAACCGUAUACGUGUGAGACCCGGCAGGGGUUGCGUGUGCGGGGUUGUGGGAUCUCUCUUUUACGGUCUGCCGGCCGUGAGACGAGUCAGAAACCGUUGAUGUAGGCGAAGGACAUGCGAAAGGUCCGGCGUAGAGGGUAAGACCCCCGUAGUCGAAACGUCAGCGGCUCGUUUGAGAGACACCCAAGUAGCACGGGGCCCGAGAAAUCCCGUGUGAAUCUGGCGGGACCACCCGCUAAGCCUAAAUAUUCCCUGGUGACCGAUAGCGGAUAGUACCGUGAGGGAAUGGUGAAAAGUACCGCGGGAGCGGAGUGAAAUAGUACCUGAAACCGUGUGCCUACAAGCCGUGGGAGCGUCGCGCAAGGACUUGUCCUUGCGUCGUGACUGCGUGCCUUUUGAAGAAUGAGCCUGCGAGUUUGCGGUGUGUUGCGAGGUUAACCCGGGUGGGGAAGCCGUAGCGAAAGCGAGUCCGAACAGGGCGAUUCAGUAGCACGCUCAAGACCCGAAGCGGAGUGAUCUAGCCAUGGGCAGGUUGAAGCGGCUGUAAGAGGUCGUGGAGGACCGAACCCACCAGGGUUGAAAACCUGGGGGAUGACCUGUGGUUAGGGGUGAAAGGCCAAUCAAACUCCGUGAUAGCUGGUUCUCCCCGAAAUGCAUUUAGGUGCAGCGUCGUGUGUUUCUUGCCGGAGGUAGAGCACUGGAUAGGCGAUGGGCCCUACCGGGUUACUGACCUUAGCCAAACUCCGAAUGCCGGUAAGUGAGAGCGCGGCAGUGAGACUGUGGGGGAUAAGCUCCAUGGUCGAGAGGGAAACAGCCCAGAGCAUCGACUAAGGCCCCUAAGCGUACGCUAAGUGGGAAAGGAUGUGGAGUCGCACAGACAACCAGGAGGUUGGCUUAGAAGCAGCCACCCUUGAAAGAGUGCGUAAUAGCUCACUGGUCUAGUGAUUCCGCGCCGACAAUGUAGCGGGGCUCAAGCGUACCGCCGAAGUCGUGUCAUUGCAGCAAUACGGCCAACGCCGGCUGUGAUGGGUAGGGGAGCGUCGUGUGCCGGGUGAAGCAGCCGCGGAAGCGAGUUGUGGACGGUUCACGAGUGAGAAUGCAGGCAUGAGUAGCGAUACAAACGUGAGAAACGUUUGCGCCGAUUGACUAAGGGUUCCUGGGUCAAGCUGAUCUGCCCAGGGUAAGUCGGGACCUAAGGCGAGGCCGACAGGCGUAGUCGAUGGAUAACCGGUUGAUAUUCCGGUACCCGCUGUGAAGCGUCAAACAUCGAGCAUCGUGAUGCUAAGGCCGUGAAGCCGCCCUGAUCUCUUCGGAGUUGAGGGGAGUGGUGGAGCCGCCGAACCAAGCGGUUAGUAGGUGAGUGAUGGGGUGACGCAGGAAGGUAGUCCAUCCCGGGCGGUGGUUGUCCCGGGGUAAGGGUGUAGGCCGUGCGGUAGGUAAAUCCGUCGCACACAAGGCUGAGACCUGAUGCCGAGCCGAUUGUGGUGAAGUGGAUGAUCCUAUGCUGUCGAGAAAAGCCUCUAGCGAGUUUCAUGGCGGCCCGUACCCUAAACCGACUCAGGUGGUCAGGUAGAGAAUACCGAGGCGUUCGGGUGAACUAUGGUUAAGGAACUCGGCAAAAUGCCCCCGUAACUUCGGGAGAAGGGGGGCCACACCCGGUGACCGGAUUUACUCCGUGAGCUGGGGGUGGCCGCAGAGACCAGCGAGAAGCGACUGUUUACUAAAAACACAGGUCCGUGCGAAGCCGUAAGGCGAUGUAUACGGACUGACGCCUGCCCGGUGCUGGAACGUUAAGGGGACCGGUUAGCUCCAUUUCGGUGGGGCGAAGCUGAGAACUUAAGCGCCAGUAAACGGCGGUGGUAACUAUAACCAUCCUAAGGUAGCGAAAUUCCUUGUCGGGUAAGUUCCGACCUGCACGAAUGGCGUAACGACUUCUCGACUGUCUCAACCAUAGGCCCGGUGAAAUUGCACUACGAGUAAAGAUGCUCGUUUCGCGCAGCAGGACGGAAAGACCCCGGGACCUUUACUACAGUUUGAUAUUGGUGUUCGGUUCGGCUUGUGUAGGAUAGCUGGGAGACUUUGAAGCUCGCACGCCAGUGUGGGUGGAGUCGUCGUUGAAAUACCAGUCUGGUCGUGCUGGAUGUCUAACCUGGGUCCGUGAUCCGGAUCAGGGACAGUGUCUGAUGGGUAGUUUAACUGGGGCGGUUGCCUCCUAAAGAGUAACGGAGGCGCCCAAAGGUUCCCUCAGCCUGGUUGGCAAUCAGGUGUUGAGUGUAAGUGCACAAGGGAGCUUGACUGUGAGACCGACGGGUCGAGCAGGGACGAAAGUCGGGACUAGUGAUCCGGCGGUGGCUUGUGGAAGCGCCGUCGCUCAACGGAUAAAAGGUACCCCGGGGAUAACAGGCUGAUCUUCCCCAAGAGUCCAUAUCGACGGGAUGGUUUGGCACCUCGAUGUCGGCUCGUCGCAUCCUGGGGCUGGAGUCGGUCCCAAGGGUUGGGCUGUUCGCCCAUUAAAGCGGUACGCGAGCUGGGUUUAGAACGUCGUGAGACAGUUCGGUCCCUAUCCGCUGUGCGCGUAGGAGUCUUGAGAAGGGCUGUCCCUAGUACGAGAGGACCGGGACGGACGAACCUCUGGUGUGCCAGUUGUUCUGCCAAGGGCAUGGCUGGUUGGCUACGUUCGGGAGGGAUAACCGCUGAAAGCAUCUAAGCGGGAAGCCUGCUUCGAGAUGAGGACUCCCACCCCCUUGAGGGGUUAAGGCUCCCAGUAGACGACUGGGUUGAUAGGCCGGAUCUGGAAGCACCGUGAGGUGUGGAGGUGACCGGUACUAAUAGGCCGAGGGCUUGUCCUCAGUUG
RNAcentral lists this ribosomal RNA (3147 nucleotides) under Streptomyces sp. SID5926. Its description in RNAcentral is "23S ribosomal RNA". It matches the Rfam family "Bacterial large subunit ribosomal RNA". Lineage: Bacteria; Bacillati; Actinomycetota; Actinomycetes; Kitasatosporales; Streptomycetaceae. The record is from RNAcentral.